Molecule: ribosomal RNA, 745 nt
Filed under: uncultured bacterium
Lineage: Bacteria
Description: bacterial SSU rRNA
Rfam family: Bacterial small subunit ribosomal RNA
Source: RNAcentral
GUCGAACGAUGAAGCCUAGCUUGCUAGGUGGAUUAGUGGCGAACGGGUGAGUAAUACGUGAGUAACCUACCUUUAACUCUGGGAUAAGCCCGGGAAACUGGGUCUAAUACCGGAUACGACCAAUCUCCGCAUGGGGUGUUGGUGGAAAGCGUUAUGUAGUGGUUAUAGAUGGGCUCACGGCCUAUCAGCUUGUUGGUGAGGUAACGGCUCACCAAGGCGACGACGGGUAGCCGGCCUGAGAGGGUGACCGGCCACACUGGGACUGAGACACGGCCCAGACUCCUACGGGAGGCAGCAGUGGGGAAUAUUGCACAAUGGGCGCAAGCCUGAUGCAGCGACGCCGCGUGAGGGAUGACGGCCUUCGGGUUGUAAACCUCUGUUAGCAGGGAAGAAGAGAGAUUGACGGUACCUGCAGAGAAAGCGCCGGCUAACUACGUGCCAGCAGCCGCGGUAAUACGUAGGGCGCGAGCGUUGUCCGGAAUUAUUGGGCGUAAAGAGCUUGUAGGCGGUUUGUCGCGUCUGCUGUGAAAGGCCGGGGCUUAACCCCGUGUAUUGCAGUGGGUACGGGCAGACUAGAGUGCAGUAGGGGAGACUGGAAUUCCUGGUGUAGCGGUGGAAUGCGCAGAUAUCAGGAGGAACACCGAUGGCGAAGGCAGGUCUCUGGGCUGUAACUGACGCUGAGAAGCGAAAGCAUGGGGAGCGAACAGGAUUAGAUACCCUGGUAGUCCAUGCCGUAAUGCCGUAA